Molecule: ribosomal RNA, 241 nt
Filed under: uncultured bacterium
Lineage: Bacteria
Description: partial 16S ribosomal RNA
Rfam family: Bacterial small subunit ribosomal RNA
Source: RNAcentral
AUACGAAGGGGGCUAGCGUUGUUCGGAAUUACUGGGCGUAAAGCGAGCGUAGGUCGCUUGGCAAGUCAGUGGUGAAAUCCCAGAGCUUAACUCUGGAACUGCCAUUGAAACUGCUGGGCUAGAAUCUCAGAGGGGAUAGCGGAAUUCCAAAUGUAGGGGUGAAAUCCGUAGAUAUUUGGAGGAACACCGGUGGCGAAGGCGGCUAUCUGGAUGAGUAUUGACACUGAGGCUCGAAAGCGGU